RNAcentral lists this ribosomal RNA (338 nucleotides) under uncultured Pseudomonas sp. Its description in RNAcentral is "bacterial SSU rRNA". It matches the Rfam family "Bacterial small subunit ribosomal RNA", at positions 1045 to 1382 of the family's 1533-position model. The record is from RNAcentral. Lineage: Bacteria; Pseudomonadati; Pseudomonadota; Gammaproteobacteria; Pseudomonadales; Pseudomonadaceae.
AUGGCUGCGUCAGCUCGUGUCGUGAGAUGUUGGGUUAAGUCCCGUAACGAGCGCAACCUUGUCCUUAGUUACCAGCACGUUAUGGUGGGCACUCUAAGGAGACUGCCGGUGACAAACCGGGAGGAAGGUGGGGGAUGACGUCAAGUCAUCAUGGCCCUUACGGCCUGGGCUACACACGUGCUACAAUGGUCGGUACAAAGGGUUGCCAAGCCGCGAGGUGGAGCUAAUCCCAUAAAACCGAUCGUAGUCCGGAUCGCAGUCUGCAACUCGACUGCGUGAAGUCGGAAUCGCUAGUAAUCGUGAAUCAGAAUGUCACGGUGAAUACGUUCCCGGGCCUU